UAGCUCAGUGGUUUGAGCAUUGGCCUGCUAAACCAAGGGUAUGAGUUCAAUUCUCGA
This 57-nucleotide transfer RNA is filed under the name Pelodiscus sinensis (Chinese soft-shelled turtle). It matches the Rfam family "tRNA", at positions 8 to 63 of the family's 71-position model. Rfam says of the family: Transfer RNA (tRNA) molecules are approximately 80 nucleotides in length. Their secondary structure includes four short double-helical elements and three loops (D, anti-codon, and T loops). Further hydrogen bonds mediate the characteristic L-shaped molecular structure. tRNAs have two regions of fundamental functional importance: the anti-codon, which is responsible for specific mRNA codon recognition, and the 3' end, to which the tRNAs corresponding amino acid is attached (by aminoacyl-tRNA synthetases). tRNAs cope with the degeneracy of the genetic code in two manners: having more than one tRNA (with a specific anti-codon) for a particular amino acid; and 'wobble' base-pairing, i.e. permitting non-standard base-pairing at the 3rd anti-codon position. Lineage: Eukaryota; Metazoa; Chordata; Testudines; Trionychidae. The record is from Rfam by way of RNAcentral.